RNAcentral lists this ribosomal RNA (1489 nucleotides) under metagenome. RNAcentral's name for it is "bacterial LSU rRNA". It matches the Rfam family "Bacterial large subunit ribosomal RNA", at positions 1433 to 2925 of the family's 2925-position model. The record is from RNAcentral.
AUAUUCCUGUACCACCUACAAGACUGAUGGAGUGACAAAGAAGGCUAAGCAAAGCCAAUUAUUGGAUUUUGGUCUAAGCACAAAGGCGUGUUGAGUAAGCAAAUCUAUCAACUGUAACGCUGAAGUGUGAUGGGGAAAAAGUUCUACGGAACUUCAACUUUGCUGAAGCCAUGCUUUCAAGAAAAACUUCUAGGGCUAAUCUUGUAGGUGCCUGUACUCAGAACCGACACUGGUAGUCAAGGAGAGAAUCCUAAGGUGAGCGAGAUAACUAUGGUUAAGGAACUCGGCAAAAUGACCCCGUAACUUCGGAAUAAGGGGAGGUGUAGCGAUACACCCUCAGGAAAUAGGUCCAGGCAACUGUUUACCAAAAACACAGGUCUCUGCUAAAGCGUAAGCUGAUGUAUAGGGGCUGACGCCUGCCCAGUGCUGGAAGGUUAAGAGGAGAUGUUAGUUGGACGCAAGUUGAUAACAACGAAGCUUCGAAUUGAAGCCCCAGUGAACGGCGGCCGUAACUAUAACGGUCCUAAGGUAGCGAAAUUCCUUGUCAGGUAAGUUCUGACCCGCACGAAAGGCGUAAUGAUCUGGAUACUGUCUCAACCAUAGACUCGGUGAAAUCUUAAUACCUGUGAAAAUGCAGGUUACCCGCUACAGGACAAAAAGACCCCGUGGAGCUUUACUGCAACUUGAUAUUGGAAUCAGAUGUAUCAUGUAGAGGAUAGGUGGGAGACUUUGAAGUUAGGACGUCAGUUCUAAUGGAGUCAUCCUUGGAAUACCACCCUUGAUAUGUUUGAUUUCUAACUUGCGCCCAUUAUCUGGGUGGAGGACAGUGUCUGGUGGGCAGUUUGACUGGGGCGGUCGCCUCCCAAAGAGUAACGGAGGCGCCCAAAGGUUCCCUCAGAAUGGUUGGAAAUCAUUCGUAGAGUGUAAUGGCAGAAGGGAGCUUAACUGCGAGACCUACAAGUCAAGCAGAUGCGAAAGCAGGGCAUAGUGAUCUUGCGAUCCCGAAUGGAAGGGUCGUUGCUUAACGGAUAAAAGUUACCCCGGGGAUAACAGGCUGAUCCCACCCAAUAGUUCAUAUAGACGGUGGGGUUUGGCACCUCGAUGUCGGCUCGUCGUAUCCUGGAGGUGGAAUCGCUUCCAAGGGUUGGGCUGUUCGCCCAUUAAAACGGCACGCGAGCUGGGUUCAGAACGUCGUGAGACAGUUCGGUCUCUAUCCGUAGUGGGCGUUAGAAAAUUGAGGAGUGCUUUUCCUAGUACGAGAGGACCGGAAAGGACGAACCGAUGGUGUAUCUGUUGUCACGCCAGUGGCAGUGCAGAGUAGCUAUGUUCGGAAGGGAUAAUCGCUGAAGGCAUCUAAGCGAGAAGCCCUCUCCAAGAUGAGUUUUCUUUAUCUUCAAGAUAUAAGAUCCCUUGUAGACGACAAGGUUGAUAGGUUAGAUGUGUAAGCAUAGUGAUAUGUUGAGCUGACUAAUACUAAUAGAUCGACAAU